RNAcentral lists this unclassified non-coding RNA (890 nucleotides) under Hevea brasiliensis (rubber tree). Lineage: Eukaryota; Viridiplantae; Streptophyta; Magnoliopsida; Malpighiales; Euphorbiaceae. The record is from RNAcentral.
UGGGUUUUCUCAGCCUCCAAUGCUUGGUGCUUCUCCUCUAAUUUUGAAUAAAACGCCUUCCGUCUCUCAGCUCGUUCAGAGCAUCUAAAUACUGGAGCCGAUGCAACAGUUGUCCUGGACUUAUUAGUCAGAGCAGAUGCUGCAGUAAUAGAAAUGACCGAACAAGUAUCCUCCUCAUCAGGAUGCUUCUUGUUAUUUGGCUGCAAUGGCUUUCUUGAUACUCCAAGUGGCUGAUUCUGCUUUGUAGCGUUUGGAUGUAGCACAUUGUUUGCAUUAGAUGAUUUAUUCACACCAAAAGGGGCAUCAAGGUCAGAUCCAGUAGGACGAGUUCCAGAUGAAGCACGCUUUUCAGUUGCUAGAGCAAAUGGCUGAGGAACAGUGUGUUUUAUUGGAACAACUCCAGGAGCAGCUUUUGAUGCAGGCUUUCUGCAUGAUUGAGACUUACUAUUAUCCUUUGUCUUUUCUUUUCCUGGUUUGACCUUUUCCUCUUUCAAGCCAGCCUCAAAUUUUGAGCUUACUACAUUUUUCUGCUCCUUACUUUUCUCAUCAUGGGGAACUUCAGUAGUCUCAACUGAGAUUUCAGUUGUACACUCCUUCACUUCAUAUUCCUUUGCUUCAGAGCUCUCCUCUGAACUCUGAACCUCAGGAACCCCAUUGAUAGGCUCAUAGGACUCUAGAACAUCAUGAUGAUUGGGAACAGUUUCAUGAUUUAAAUCAUGGGAAACAUCAUUCGAAUAAACUAUGACACAAUCUGGCUCCUUGUCCAUGCAUAUAUCUGUAACUUCUACUCCCAUUGCAGGAUUAAGGUCCGAUCUGAGAAGAAAUGAAGGGGCAGAGUUUGCGCUGGUAGUUCCUUGGUUUUAUUUGCCUUACCCAGCUGUGCGCGUGUU